UACGUAGGGUGCAGGCGUCAAUCGGAAUUACUGGGCGUAAAGCGUGCGCAGGCGGUCUUUUAAGUCAGAUGUGAAAUCCCCGGGCUUAACCUGGGAACUGCGUUUGAAACUGGAAGGCUAGAGUGUGGCAGAGGGGGGUGGAAUUCCACGUGUAGCAGUGAAAUGCGUAGAUAUGUGGAGGAACACCGAUGGCGAAGGCAGCCCCCUGGGCUAACACUGACGCUCAUGCACGAAAGCGUGGGGAGCAAACAGG
RNAcentral lists this ribosomal RNA (253 nucleotides) under uncultured bacterium. RNAcentral's name for it is "partial 16S ribosomal RNA". It matches the Rfam family "Bacterial small subunit ribosomal RNA", at positions 524 to 776 of the family's 1533-position model. The record is from RNAcentral.